GCGCUCAUGGCCUAAUGGAUAAGGAAUCAAGCGAUUGUGGGUUCGAGUCCCACUGGGCGUG
RNAcentral lists this transfer RNA (61 nucleotides) under Ipomoea nil (Japanese morning glory). It matches the Rfam family "tRNA". From Rfam's summary of the family: Transfer RNA (tRNA) molecules are approximately 80 nucleotides in length. Their secondary structure includes four short double-helical elements and three loops (D, anti-codon, and T loops). The record is from Rfam by way of RNAcentral. Lineage: Eukaryota; Viridiplantae; Streptophyta; Magnoliopsida; Solanales; Convolvulaceae.